RNAcentral lists this ribosomal RNA (253 nucleotides) under uncultured bacterium. Its description in RNAcentral is "partial 16S ribosomal RNA". It matches the Rfam family "Bacterial small subunit ribosomal RNA", at positions 524 to 776 of the family's 1533-position model. The record is from RNAcentral.
UACAGAGGGUGCGAGCGUUAAUCGGAAUUACUGGGCGUAAAGCGCACGUAGGCGGCUUGGUAUGUCGGGUGUGAAAUCCCCGGGCUCAACCUGGGAACUGCAUCCGAAACUGCCUUGCUCGAGUAUGGGAGAGGGAAGUGGAAUUUCAGGUGUAGCGGUGAAAUGCGUAGAUAUCUGAAGGAACAUCAGUGGCGAAAGCGACUUCCUGGACCAAUACUGACGCUCAUGUGCGAAAGCGUGGGGAGCAAACAGG